RNAcentral lists this ribosomal RNA (234 nucleotides) under Staphylococcus haemolyticus. RNAcentral describes it as "partial 16S ribosomal RNA". It matches the Rfam family "Bacterial small subunit ribosomal RNA", at positions 83 to 311 of the family's 1533-position model. The record is from RNAcentral. Lineage: Bacteria; Bacillati; Bacillota; Bacilli; Caryophanales; Staphylococcaceae.
CCUUUGACGUUAGCGGCGGACGGGUGAGUAACACGUGGGUAACCUACCUAUAAGACUGGGAUAACUUCGGGAAACCGGAGCUAAUACCGGAUAAUAUUUCGAACCGCAUGGUUCGAUAGUGAAAGAUGGUUUUGCUAUCACUUAUAGAUGGACCCGCGCCGUAUUAGCUAGUUGGUAAGGUAACGGCUUACCAAGGCGACGAUACGUAGCCGACCUGAGAGGGUGAUCGGCCAC